CAGAAGCGCCUUCUGCCCAGCUUCGCGUGGCAUUAAUCGCCACGGGCACGCCAGCUUGCGCUCCAAGGCUGCGUGAGCUUGACCUCGAGGGCUGGAUAAAACUCACCAUGAAGCAAGUCCCAUUGGACGAAGAACUGAUCAUAGCAUUUCUCAGUGGUAGCCAUCUGAAGAAGCACAACCUUCGUAGACGUCAGAGUAUCUGCUGCACCAGGGGGCUCCUCAGUGAACUAGCCCUGGCCAUGAUGGACAUGGAAUCUCACUGUUCAAUAGGAAUUUUUGAAAUAAAAUAAUACAGCCACCUA
Molecule: long non-coding RNA, 302 nt
Organism: Apodemus sylvaticus (European woodmouse)
Lineage: Eukaryota; Metazoa; Chordata; Mammalia; Rodentia; Muridae
Exons: 2
Source: RefSeq, a predicted model, not a curated record